RNAcentral lists this unclassified non-coding RNA (257 nucleotides) under Pezizales sp. RNAcentral describes it as "partial contains 5.8S ribosomal RNA, internal transcribed spacer 2, and large subunit ribosomal RNA". Lineage: Eukaryota; Fungi; Ascomycota; Pezizomycetes; Pezizales. The record is from RNAcentral.
CGCACAUGGCGCCUUCUGGUAUUCCGGGAGGCAUGCCUGUUCGAGCGUCGUCCCCCCUCACCAGCCCCGCUGGGUCUUGUGGUCGAUCCACCCUCCGGGGAGGAUCCCCACGAAAGGCAGCGGCGACGAGCAUCGGCCUGGAGCGCAUUGACUUUGUUUUCGCCCCGGGGUCGGAACUCGUUGGCCGAUAAACCACGUAUCUGAUGAUACUUUGACGAUUUGACCUCGGAUCAGGUAGGGAUACCCGCUGAACUUAA